CCUACGGGAGGCAGCAGUGGGGAAUCUUGCGCAAUGGGCGAAAGCCUGACGCAGCAACGCCGCGUGGGGGAUGAAGGCUCUCGGGUUGUAAACCCCUUUCAGCAGGGACGAAAUUGACGGUACCUGCAGAAGAAGCCCCGGCCAACUACGUGCCAGCAGCCGCGGUAAUACGUAGGGGGCGAGCGUUGUCCGGAUUCAUUGGGCGUAAAGAGCUCGUAGGCGGCUGAGUAAGUCGGGUGUGAAACCUCCAGGCUCAACCUGGAGCCGCCACUCGAUACUGCUCUGGCUUGAGUCCGGUAGGGGCCCACGGAAUUCCUGGUGUAGCGGUGAAAUGCGCAGAUAUCAGGAGGAACACCGGUGGCGAAGGCGGUGGGCUGGGCCGGUACUGACGCUGAGGAGCGAAAGCGUGGGGAGCGAACAGGAUUAGAUACCCUGGUAGU
This 440-nucleotide ribosomal RNA is filed under the name uncultured bacterium. RNAcentral's name for it is "bacterial SSU rRNA". It matches the Rfam family "Bacterial small subunit ribosomal RNA", at positions 338 to 794 of the family's 1533-position model. The record is from RNAcentral.